Molecule: long non-coding RNA, 1607 nt
Organism: Aphis gossypii (cotton aphid)
Lineage: Eukaryota; Metazoa; Arthropoda; Insecta; Hemiptera; Aphididae
Exons: 3
Source: RefSeq, a predicted model, not a curated record
CUAAAAUACAAGGAUAAUUUAUAAAUACGAUUAAUUACUUAUAUUAGUAUAAUAUUAUAUCAAUUAAUAUAAUUAUACAUUGGUUUUAGUGUCUAUCAAUUAGCCAUUAGUUACAGUUGUACCUAUGUUAUGUUUGUCUAAUAUAUUAUACAGGAUAUAUAUUGUAAAUAAAUUGUAAUUACACAUUUAAACCGUUAUGGGUAUAAAGAGGCAAAUGAAUAAUGAUGUAUAAUUUAAGAUGAUGGGUUAUAAUAAUAUUAAAGUAAUGUAAUUUAAUUAUUAUACUUGUAAAUUGUAAUACAAACUUUACUAAAAGUACCUAUAAUAUUAUGCCUAAAACAAAAUGAAUAAUAAUGUAAAAAUUACCUAAAAAUUAAAAAAAAAAUCAGGAUGAAAUCAGUAAAAUAUUAUUGUAUUGUAACAUGGAUAACCCAGCAGUAUAUCUUGUUUUCGUGUAGUAGAUAUCUAUACUUUAAAUCGUGUGAAGUGUUCAAAGUGACAGUUUUGGUAUUGAAUUUCAGGGAAAUGGGUACGCAAUGAAAAUAUUCGGUUAAACUAAACUUAACGCUGUGAAAUGAACGACCACCCACGUUUGAAAUGCCCUCGUUAAAAAGACACUGUCGGAUUGUAUAGGUCAAAACGGGACAACAAAAAAACACAUAGAGGGAACAAUCGAGUAAUAAGUUGGCAAUGGGCUUUGGCAUUUGAUGCUAAAAGUUGAUAUCGCAGCUAGUAUAUUAUAGCUAUAUCAUAUUAUUUAUAAUUCAUUCGUUAUUUAGUACACUAACGUUUAAAAUCGGAAACAAAAGUUUUUACUUUUUUUACAGUAAUAUGUGUAGUGUAUAAUCGGUUGAGAGUCACGAUUACAGUAAAUCCGAAGAUACUCAGACCAUUUUUGGCGGAUUGUCCAUAAAAAACAAAUAAGCGUUCAGACGACAGUGCACACGUGCACUUAGUACAGCCAGACGUAGAAACGAAAAACUGAUCGAGAUAUCGUCCGGUAUCCGGUCUAUGUCAAAAACCACGGUGGUCGAACUACACUUCCGCCGUACCCAACGACCAACGCCCAUCAAACUGUCAAUGUAAGCCACAUAUAUUCUAUCACAUGCAGACGGCGCCGCACUUGUAAACCAUCAUCAACAGCAAGAUUAAGAAAAUAUACCAUUGCUGGAGACCCGACGAAUAUUUAAAUAUAUAAUGUUAUAUGAUGAUAAUAUGAUAUGAUGUAUUAUUAUAAACGACACACGUAUACCUAAUGAUAUUGUACUUGUACAAAUGAUGAGUGGCAAAUUUUUUUGGAAUUUAAGGGGUGGCAUUGUUUAUAAAUAAAAAUAUAUUAUGAAUUAUAUAAGGGCGGCAUAUUAUAGGUAAUUAACACAGGGCAGCGAAAAACCUAGCGCUGGCACUGUCAUAAUUAUAGUUUAUAAUCAGUGGCGUAUCUAGUUUUUUUCGGAGAGAGGGGGGUGCGUGUUAUAACCCCUUCACUGGGUACACUAAUGUUUAUAAUAAUGUAUUUUUUUUGAUAGCAGAUCAUUGUUUGUUUCAAUACUAUAAUAUCAUCAAUAUUAAAUCAUUUGAUUCUCCGGGGUUUGAAAAAUUAAACAACU